AGGGUAUUAUUUUUUCAGACGCGUUAACUUUACCUGUCUUAAUUAUUGAAUUGCUGUGUGUAGUCUUUUCCCGCCCAAUGGCGGGUUUUUUUUUGC
This 96-nucleotide unclassified non-coding RNA is filed under the name Rosenbergiella nectarea. RNAcentral's name for it is "RprA RNA". The record is from RNAcentral. Lineage: Bacteria; Pseudomonadati; Pseudomonadota; Gammaproteobacteria; Enterobacterales; Erwiniaceae.